RNAcentral lists this ribosomal RNA (258 nucleotides) under uncultured bacterium. RNAcentral's name for it is "partial 16S ribosomal RNA". It matches the Rfam family "Bacterial small subunit ribosomal RNA", at positions 524 to 779 of the family's 1533-position model. The record is from RNAcentral.
UACAGAGGUCCCAAGCGUUGUUCGGAUUCACUGGGCGUAAGGGUGCGUAGGCGGUCUAUUAAGUCAGUGCUGAAAUAUCCCGGCUUAACCGGGAGGGUGGCAUUGAUACUGAUGGACUUGAGUGCAGUCGAGGUAGGCGGAAUUGACGGUGUAGCGGUGAAAUGCUUAGAUAUCGUCAAGGACACCGAUAGUGAAGACAGCUUACUAGACUGUAACUGACGCUGAGGCACGAAAGUGUGGGGAGUCAAAACAGGGAUU